UACGGGGGGGGCAAGCGUUGUUCGGAAUUACUGGGCGUAAAGGGCGCGUAGGCGGCCUGCUAAGUCGGACGUGAAAUCCCUCGGCUCAACCGGGGAACUGCGUCCGAUACUGGUGGGCUCGAAUCCGGGAGAGGGAUGUGGAAUUCCAGGUGUAGCGGUGAAAUGCGUAGAUAUCUGGAGGAACACCGGUGGCGAAGGCGGCAUCCUGGACCGAGAUUGACACUGAUGAGCGAAAGCUAGGGGAGCAAACGGG
Molecule: ribosomal RNA, 253 nt
Filed under: uncultured bacterium
Lineage: Bacteria
Description: partial 16S ribosomal RNA
Rfam family: Bacterial small subunit ribosomal RNA
Source: RNAcentral